This 735-nucleotide ribosomal RNA is filed under the name Streptomyces sp. Its description in RNAcentral is "bacterial SSU rRNA". It matches the Rfam family "Bacterial small subunit ribosomal RNA", at positions 72 to 823 of the family's 1533-position model. Lineage: Bacteria; Bacillati; Actinomycetota; Actinomycetes; Kitasatosporales; Streptomycetaceae. The record is from RNAcentral.
GAACCACUUCGGUGGGGAUUAGUGGCGAACGGGUGAGUAACACGUGGGCAAUCUGCCCUGCACUCUGGGACAAGCCCUGGAAACGGGGUCUAAUACCGGAUACGAGUUUCACAGGCAUCUGUGAUUCUGGAAAGCUCCGGCGGUGCAGGAUGAGCCCGCGGCCUAUCAGCUUGUUGGUGAGGUAACGGCUCACCAAGGCGACGACGGGUAGCCGGCCUGAGAGGGCGACCGGCCACACUGGGACUGAGACACGGCCCAGACUCCUACGGGAGGCAGCAGUGGGGAAUAUUGCACAAUGGGCGCAAGCCUGAUGCAGCGACGCCGCGUGAGGGAUGACGGCCUUCGGGUUGUAAACCUCUUUCAGCAGGGAAGAAGCGAGAGUGACGGUACCUGCAGAAGAAGCGCCGGCUAACUACGUGCCAGCAGCCGCGGUAAUACGUAGGGCGCAAGCGUUGUCCGGAAUUAUUGGGCGUAAAGAGCUCGUAGGCGGCUUGUCGCGUCGGAUGUGAAAGCCCGGGGCUUAACCCCGGGUCUGCAUUCGAUACGGGCAGGCUAGAGUUCGGUAGGGGAGAUCGGAAUUCCUGGUGUAGCGGUGAAAUGCGCAGAUAUCAGGAGGAACACCGGUGGCGAAGGCGGAUCUCUGGGCCGAUACUGACGCUGAGGAGCGAAAGCGUGGGGAGCGAACAGGAUUAGAUACCCUGGUAGUCCACGCCGUAAACGGUGGGCACUAGGUGU